GCCUGGCUGGCUCUGUCGGAAGAGCAUGCGACUCUUGAUCUCGGGGUCGUAAGUUCAAACCUCACGUUGGGCG
This 73-nucleotide transfer RNA is filed under the name Felis catus (domestic cat). It matches the Rfam family "tRNA". Rfam says of the family: Transfer RNA (tRNA) molecules are approximately 80 nucleotides in length. Their secondary structure includes four short double-helical elements and three loops (D, anti-codon, and T loops). Lineage: Eukaryota; Metazoa; Chordata; Mammalia; Carnivora; Felidae. The record is from Rfam by way of RNAcentral.